RNAcentral lists this ribosomal RNA (253 nucleotides) under uncultured bacterium. RNAcentral describes it as "partial 16S ribosomal RNA". It matches the Rfam family "Bacterial small subunit ribosomal RNA", at positions 524 to 776 of the family's 1533-position model. The record is from RNAcentral.
UACGGAGGGUGCAAGCGUUAUCCGGAUUCAUUGGGUUUAAAGGGUGCGUAGGCGGACAGGUAAGUCAGUGGUGAAAUCUCCGAGCUUAACUCGGAAACUGCCUUUGAUACUCUCUGUCUUGAAUAUGGUGGAGGUAAGCGGAAUAUGUCAUGUAGCGGUGAAAUGCUUAGAGAUGACAUAGAACACCUAUUGCGAAGGCAGCUUACUACGCCUAUAUUGACGCUGAGGCACGAAAGCGUGGGGAUCAAACAGG